Molecule: transfer RNA, 120 nt
Filed under: Oryza sativa (Asian cultivated rice)
Lineage: Eukaryota; Viridiplantae; Streptophyta; Magnoliopsida; Poales; Poaceae
Description: precursor microRNA 424b stem-loop
Rfam family: tRNA (bases 8-80)
About the family: Transfer RNA (tRNA) molecules are approximately 80 nucleotides in length.
Source: RNAcentral
GACAAAAGGGGAUGUAGCUCAGAUGGUAGAGCGCUCGCUUAGCAUGCGAGAGGUACGGGGAUCGAUACCCCGCAUCUCCAAUUUUCCGUUUUCCAUUUUGGUUAAUGUACUUCUUAGUUA